CAGCAGCCGCGGGAAUACAGAGGGUGCAAGCGUUAAUCGGAAUUACUGGGCGUAAAGCGCGCGUAGGUGGUUUGUUAAGUUGGAUGUGAAAUCCCCGGGCUCAACCUGGGAACUGCAUCCAAAACUGGCAAGCUAGAGUAUGGUAGAGGGUGGUGGAAUUUCCUGUGUAGCGGUGAAAUGCGUAGAUAUAGGAAGGAACACCAGUGGCGAAGGCGACCACCUGGACUGAUACUGACACUGAGGUGCGAAAGCGUGGGGAGCAAACAGGAUUAGAUACCCCCGUAGUCCCUGUCUCUUAUAC
This 301-nucleotide ribosomal RNA is filed under the name uncultured bacterium. Its description in RNAcentral is "partial 16S ribosomal RNA". It matches the Rfam family "Bacterial small subunit ribosomal RNA", at positions 509 to 807 of the family's 1533-position model. The record is from RNAcentral.